This 427-nucleotide ribosomal RNA is filed under the name uncultured Chlamydiae bacterium. Its description in RNAcentral is "bacterial SSU rRNA". It matches the Rfam family "Bacterial small subunit ribosomal RNA", at positions 958 to 1385 of the family's 1533-position model. The record is from RNAcentral. Lineage: Bacteria; Pseudomonadati; Chlamydiota; Chlamydiia.
AACGCGAAGAACCUUACCCAGACUUGACAUGCACUGGACCGUGCCAGAAAUGGCACUUCCCUUCGGGGCCGGUGCACAGGUGCUGCAUGGCUGUCGUCAGCUCGUGCCGUGAGGUGUUGGGUUAAGUCCCGCAACGAGCGCAACCCUUAUCGUUAGUUGCCAGCACGUAAUGGUGGGAACUCUAAUGAGACUGCCCGGGUUAACCGGGAGGAAGGUGAGGAUGACGUCAAGUCCGCAUGGCCCUUAUGUCUGGGGCUACACACGUGCUACAAUGGUCGGUACAAAAGGCAGCGAAACUGCGAAGUGAAGCAAAUCCCAAAAGCCGACCCCAGUUCAGAUUGUAGUCUGCAACUCGACUACAUGAAGAUGGAAUUGCUAGUAAUGGCGAGUCAGCAACAUCGCCGUGAAUACGUUCCCGGGCCUUGUA